CAACAGUUUCCUCUCUACCUUUGUGGUGUUCCCCAGAACCAUAACAAACGCUGCUGUCACAACAUUCUCCCCAUCAGUUUAGCGCCCCUGGGUGCUACACUCCUAUGACGUUUGUUUCUGCUCGCUCUGUUCCCCACUGCUGUCAUUAAUCCCAUGCGGUCUCCCUUGUUGUUCUUUGCUAGACUCAUCACUCGACUUAACCUUUUCGCCUACAUCUAGAACCGCAAUUUUUGUCGCCGGACGUUCUAAAAUUCCGUUUACCGUCUGCACUGUCGCUCUUCUGACUUGCCCAUCCCUUGCACAAAUUACGCUUAAAACUCUCCCCAUCGGCCAACUUUUCCUCGGCAAAUUUCCGUCCACAAUCACUACGACAACAUCUACCUUGAUGCGCGGUGCCGGAUGAAACCAUUUCGAUCUGCGGGUAAGUGUAGGAAGGUAUUCCGCGAUCCACCUCUUCGAGAAAAGGUCCGCAUUCCUUUGUGUGUCGCUCCAAGACGAUUUAAUCGAUGCCGGGGAGUCAUCGAAGAACGCCGUAGUUUUUCUUCCGUCCGAGCUGCUUAGCAGUAGGUGGUUCGGGGUUAUGGGAAAGUCCAAGUCAUCAUCGAGCGGUAUGUAGGUCAGCGGCCGGGAGUUUACCAUCAUCUCAAUCUCCGUCAUCGUGGCGCUCCCAACAUCCACCAAAGUGCGGUGCGGCCGGCGGAUUGAAACUCUACUUCAGCUCGGGUGAGCUGAAUCUCGACUGCAGUGCAACCCCAUCUACUUCCUUCAGGGCAUCGUUGAGCUCUCGUGCGGCACCAAUGAAGUUAGUGCCCCUGUCACUAACAAUUUCUUGCGGUGAACCUCUUCUAGCGAUGAAUCGACGGAUUGCUAGGAUACAAGAAGCAGUAGUUAGCGAAUGGGCCAGUUCGAUAUGUAUAGCACGAGUCGUGAGACAGGUGAACAGCGCUCCCCAGCGCUUUUCCGAGCGUCGACCCACUACCACAUGUAUCGGUCCGAAAUAGUCCAGUCCUGUAUGUGUGAAAGCCCUUUGAGAUACGGCUAAUCUCUGGCGAGGAAUGUUGCCCAUCAACGGCGGGUUUGGUAAAGCAUUCUUCACCUUGCAGUGCUGACAGCCACGUCGAACCCGGUUAAAUUACAUCAGCAGCUUUGGUACGUAGUAACGUGUACGCAGUUGGUUUAUCACCGUUCUGUGGCUCCGAUGGCAGUACCGUUCAUGGAAGUCCCCGAUGAUUAAGUCGGUCACGUGAUGUCGUCUCGGUGAUAAUUUAUACAACACGCUGUCGCGAGCGAUCGGCUUCUUCCACGGAUGAUUUUGCUGCGCAUCGCUCUUGAGCCGCUUAAUGUCCGAUGAAAAUCCAUCGGCCUGAGUCCAGAUGAGCAGCGACUGCUCGGAAUCCAACAAUUCCUGCUGCGUCAAUGGACCAUUGAUCUUCGCUAACUGUUGAACAUGCCUUCGCAUGUUCCCGAUGAAACGUUGAACGUAACCCACUGUUCUCAACAAUCUUUUCCACCGCGAGAAUCGCGUGAAGUCAACUACGGUGGUAUCUGCAACUUGAUGCAUUAAACUGUGGCGAAAUUCUUCCAAGGUUUCACCUGGGUCGACAGGAUUAACCGGCCACUUAUCUUCCGACUCCUGCUGGAUGAACACAAGUCAGGAUUCCCUUGCCAUUUGGUUCCGUCGUCGGCAACGUUAACCUUGGUGGAGAUCCAGCGCCAUUCAUCCACGUUCGUUGUUUCCACUAAUUCGCUCACUCGAAAUGCGACGAAGGCACUAUAUCGUCUAUGGUCGGAGCGGAUCCAGCUCACAACGAUGCGCGAAUCCGUCCAAAAAAUCCUUUUUGUUAUUUUUAGGCGAUGCGCUUUCAUUAUGUGAUCUGCGAACCGGGCUCCUAUCACUGCCGCUUGGAGUUCUAACCGUGGUAUAGAUAGUAGCUUCAGUGGAGCAACCCUUGUUUUGGAACCUACAAUCGCACAUUCUACGACGCCGUUUUCCUCGUACCGCACGCAUGACGACGGAGAGCCAUUUCUCGAUUACAGGGGAGGCGUACGUUGUCGUACUUCCACAACAAUCCUGUUUCGUAUCGACCGUGUAGUAACCGUGUAUCGGAACUGAGCAUAGUAAUUGCUCUCUCCUCUUCCUUGGAAAGCAGUUUACGGGGAGUAUUGAUUCCCAUAAAAUCCAACGAAAAAUAUUCCUUCAACGCUGUGUUAAUGCUUUCCCCCCCAUUCUCAUUACAGAUACAGAUGCUCCUGAUUUACUCUCGUCCAUCUCGCUGUAUGUUCCCUCUCGUUCUCUUCGUCCACGUGAUCCUCUGUCAAUUGAAACACGUCAUACUCUUUAUACU
Molecule: long non-coding RNA, 2345 nt
Organism: Anopheles arabiensis
Lineage: Eukaryota; Metazoa; Arthropoda; Insecta; Diptera; Culicidae
Exons: 4
Source: RefSeq, a predicted model, not a curated record